This 348-nucleotide RNase P RNA is filed under the name Thiogranum sp. RNAcentral describes it as "RNase P RNA component class A". It matches the Rfam family "Bacterial RNase P class A". From Rfam's summary of the family: Ribonuclease P (RNase P) is a ubiquitous endoribonuclease, found in archaea, bacteria and eukarya as well as chloroplasts and mitochondria. Its best characterised activity is the generation of mature 5'-ends of tRNAs by cleaving the 5'-leader elements of precursor-tRNAs. Lineage: Bacteria; Pseudomonadati; Pseudomonadota; Gammaproteobacteria; Chromatiales; Ectothiorhodospiraceae. The record is from RNAcentral.
GAAGUCGGCUGGACAGUCGCUGCGGUGGCAACACCGUGGAGGAAAGUCCGGGCUCCACAGGGCAGGGUGCCAGGUAACGCCUGGGGGGCGAGAGCCUACGGAAAGUGCCACAGAAAAUAUACCGCCGGGCGCUUCGGCGACCGGUAAGGGUGAAAUGGUGCGGUAAGAGCGCACCGCGCCGCUGGCAACAGCGGUGGCAGGGUAAACCCCACCCGGAGCAAGACCAAAUAGGGGAACAUUGGCGCGGCCCGCGUUGUUCCCGGGUAGGUCGCUUGAGGUGUACGGUGACGUGCAUCCCAGAGGAAUGACUGUUCACGACAGAACCCGGCUUACAGGCCGGCUUCCACU